UAAAUUUUGUUGUUUCAUGUAUGGGACCUAAGCCACGAUGAUCGAAUAGAGAUCGCGAAGAUCAAUUGGAAAUAUUGCAGACUUGGUCCCAGUGGUUUACUAAUUACGGAGUUGGUCCUAGUGGUUGUAAAGUUUGCACUCAGGUAAUUAAGGAUCUGGCAUGGUAUGAUACGUUUUUCAUGCUGCUUAAGAGAAAUAAGGUCAUCCAAGUUUAGGGAUCGUGGCUCUUGCCUGGACGAGCCACAGUUCUUAAACUACGUCUGCUUUAUGUUGUGGUUAUAAAUUCUGAACAAUGUUUUAUGUUAUUAUGUUGUAAUCUCCGUUGCAUGUGUCAGUACUUUAAAACAAUGUUGUGGUACUUCUGUUUUAAAACUUAAAUCUACGGAUGAUCUUGCAUGGUUCUUAUU
This 407-nucleotide long non-coding RNA is filed under the name Helianthus annuus (common sunflower). Its description in RNAcentral is "hypothetical non coding rna". The record is from RNAcentral. Lineage: Eukaryota; Viridiplantae; Streptophyta; Magnoliopsida; Asterales; Asteraceae.